GGUGCGGGCCUGCCUGGGCUCCAGGGGUGGGCGGGUGGCCGGCCCCCGGCUGCAUACGCACAACCAAAUUCUGCCUGCGAGAAACUCGGGUUGUGAGUCUCACAAAGCUCACUACCUGCGAGGCGAGGGCGCACCCGCGACACUCCAGUCCUGGACAGCCCUGUGCCCCGCGCUGCCCACGGUGGAACCCAGAAAGGCGCUGGGUCCACGCCAGUUCCAGAGCAGGUCCCGAAGAGGUGCUAGUUCUCUGGACACGGGUCCUCCACCUGGUCUCUACUGACACAGUGACACACACACGGACAGAGGCCUUCCUGCACACGGGACAGCACGCAGACCAGCGCCCUUACAGAAACAGAUCCUCUUUUGUUGCCAGUUCAGGGAGUCCAGGUGGUUGAACAUCAGAGUGUUUCAUCUUAUUUCCCUUUGGGGUUGCGAUGAAGGACGUGACAGCAAGACAAGGUAAGAUUGACACCAAGGAUCUUGACUAGGAGGACUACAAAGCUGGGGCUCCCUUGGAGAGAUGGAGGUGAGUGUGGGCAGAGGGCGCUGGUUUGCACCUGAGGAGACAGCGCGGUCUGAACCACAGUGGGUUCUGAGGGGUGAGCUGUGGAUUCACCUUUGGACUGGGAAGC
This is a long non-coding RNA of Heterocephalus glaber (naked mole-rat), 632 nucleotides long. NCBI's taxonomy places the organism in Eukaryota, Metazoa, Chordata, Mammalia, Rodentia, Bathyergidae. The record is from Ensembl.